RNAcentral lists this ribosomal RNA (386 nucleotides) under uncultured bacterium. RNAcentral describes it as "bacterial SSU rRNA". It matches the Rfam family "Bacterial small subunit ribosomal RNA", at positions 29 to 416 of the family's 1533-position model. The record is from RNAcentral.
AUUGAACGCUGGCGGCAUGCUUUACACAUGCAAGUCGAACGGCAGCGCGGGGGCAACCCUGGCGGCGAGUGGCGAACGGGUGAGUAAUGCAUCGGAACGUAUCCUGUAAUGGGGGAUAACGUAGCGAAAGUUACGCUAAUACCGCAUACGCUCGAGAGAGGAAAGUGGGGGAUCGCAAGACCUCACGUUAUAGGAGCGGCCGAUGUCCGAUUAGCUAGUUGGUGGGGUAAAGGCCUACCAAGGCGACGAUCGGUAGCUGGUCUGAGAGGAUGAUCAGCCACACUGGGACUGAGACACGGCCCAGUCUCCUACGGGAGGCAGCAGUGGGGAAUUUUGGACAAUGGGCGAAAGCCUGAUCCAGCCAUGCCGCGUGCGGGAAGAAGGCC